AGUCUAGCUCUGUCAAUGAAUCCUCUACACAUCUACACCUGCAGCUCUGCUGGAGCCGCCACAAGCCCUGGGGGUUUUGAAAUGCCUACAGUCUGGGUUCUGAAAGGAACCACAUAGGUCUGGAUUCAAAUCCAUGCUCUAUCUUAUUCACUGGGUUUCCUUGGAUGAGGAAACUCAUGGAUGCAGAAUUCUGAGGACAUUGAGAGAAGAGCCAGAUUUCAAGUUGUUUGAACACGGAACAGAGAUAAU
RNAcentral lists this long non-coding RNA (249 nucleotides) under Canis lupus familiaris (dog). Its description in RNAcentral is "lncRNA (ENSCAFG00000055751.1)". The record is from RNAcentral. Lineage: Eukaryota; Metazoa; Chordata; Mammalia; Carnivora; Canidae.